This 428-nucleotide ribosomal RNA is filed under the name Acidobacteriota bacterium. RNAcentral describes it as "Acidobacteria bacterium partial 16S ribosomal RNA". It matches the Rfam family "Bacterial small subunit ribosomal RNA", at positions 355 to 776 of the family's 1533-position model. The record is from RNAcentral. Lineage: Bacteria; Pseudomonadati; Acidobacteriota.
UGGGGAAUUUUGGACAAUGGGGGAAACCCUGAUCCAGCCAUCCCGCGUGUGCGAUGAAGGCCUUCGGGUUGUAAAGCACUUUUGGCAGGAAAGAAACGUCAUGGGUUAAUACCCCGUGAAACUGACGGUACCUGCAGAAUAAGCACCGGCUAACUACGUGCCAGCAGCCGCGGUAAUACGUAGGGUGCAAGCGUUAAUCGGAAUUACUGGGCGUAAAGCGUGCGCAGGCGGUUCGGAAAGAAAGAUGUGAAAUCCCAGAGCUCAACUUUGGAACUGCAUUUUUAACUACCGGGCUAGAGUGUGUCAGAGGGAGGUGGAAUUCCGCGUGUAGCAGUGAAAUGCGUAGAUAUGCGGAGGAACACCGAUGCGAAGGCAGCCUCCUGGGAUAACACUGACGCUCAUGCACGAAAGCGUGGGGAGCAAACAGG